AUUUCUUUUUGAAGUUCGCACAGAGUUCAUUCCUAUACUUUCCAACCAAAGAUGAGCCCCAGGUUCAACUCUGCGUUGUGUACGAGAGCCAUGGGGGUCUUGCAAUUAACAGGCCAUUCAAACUGAAUGAUACAGUAAAGAGCGUUUUCAGCUGGAUAUGCGUGGAGGUCGAUCCUGAAAUUCUCCCCCCCCCCGUUUUCCACUUGGAGUGUCGCACACCCACCAACUGCCCUAACCCCAGUUGCCCGCACAUUUAUGAACUAAAAAACAACUUCAAAGUGAAAGUGGGGGACUUGCCAAAUAUAUUAUACCUGCGUGAAGGGUAUUUUGCCACAGAAGAAACUUUCACUGGAUUUGGGGAUGUUCUCAUGUAACAAGAGAAUAUAAAUUUGUAGCAGUUUUUUUUUUCUUUUCCCCAUCACAUUUGUAUAGAGUACCAUUUUUCAUUAUUGAGCAUUUGAUAUCAUUAUGAGCAGAGAUUUUUUUUCAUAGACAGCAAUAUGGCUGCUUUGUAUCAACCAUUAAUAGAGCGAAUAAAAAAACAGAAAAUAUUAUCAAUACAUGGAUUUG
This is a long non-coding RNA of Saccostrea echinata, 570 nucleotides long. RefSeq lists it as uncharacterized. The record is from RefSeq and is a predicted model, not a curated record. Lineage: Eukaryota; Metazoa; Mollusca; Bivalvia; Ostreida; Ostreidae. The transcript has 3 exons.